CAGAGAACUUGCCCUUCGGGGUAGAUCUCCCACCCUGUGUUUACGUUACCAUUGUUGCUUUGACGGGCCCGUCCCUCGGGACCGCCGGCUCCGGCUGGCCCGUGCCCGUCAGAGGACCCAAAACUCUUGUUUAAAUGUCGUCUGAGUACUAUAUAAUAGUUA
Molecule: unclassified non-coding RNA, 162 nt
Filed under: uncultured Flagellospora
Lineage: Eukaryota; Fungi; Ascomycota
Description: sequence contains ITS1
Source: RNAcentral